CAUUACAGAGUUCGUGCCCUUCGGGGUAGACCUCCCACCCUUUGUAUACAUACUAUUGUUGCUUCGGCGGCUCGCCGCAAGGCCCUCGGCUUCGGCUGGGGCGUGGCCGCCGGAGGACCCCAAACCCUGAAUUACAGUGUCGUCCGAGUACUAUAUAAUAGUUAAAACUUUCAACAACGGAUCUCUUGGUUCUGGCAUCGAUGAAGAACGCAGCGAAAUGCGAUAAGUAAUGUGAAUUGCAGAAUUCAGUGAAUCAUCGAAUCUUUGAACGCACAUUGCGCCCCUUGGUAUUCCGGGGGGCAUGCCUCUUCCAGCGUCAUUUCACCCCUCAAGCUCUGCUUGGUCUUGGGCCAUACCGCGCAAGCGGCCGGCCUCGAAAACAGUGGCGGCGCCAUCUGGGCUCUCAGCGUAGUAAUUCUUCUCGCUGUUGGGCUCCGGUGGUCGCCCGCCAGCAACCCCUAACUUUUACAGUUUGACCUGGGAUGAGGUAGGGAUACCC
RNAcentral lists this ribosomal RNA (499 nucleotides) under uncultured Ascomycota. RNAcentral describes it as "eukaryotic LSU rRNA". The stretch from base 166 to 319 matches the Rfam family "5.8S ribosomal RNA". The record is from RNAcentral. Lineage: Eukaryota; Fungi; Ascomycota.